RNAcentral lists this ribosomal RNA (2797 nucleotides) under Klebsiella pneumoniae. RNAcentral describes it as "23S ribosomal RNA". Lineage: Bacteria; Pseudomonadati; Pseudomonadota; Gammaproteobacteria; Enterobacterales; Enterobacteriaceae. The record is from RNAcentral.
UUAAGCGACUAAGCGUACACGGUGGAUGCCCUGGCAGUCAGAGGCGAUGAAGGACGUGCUAAUCUGCGAAAAGCGUCGGUAAGGUGAUAUGAACCGUUACAGCCGGCGAUGUCCGAAUGGGGAAACCCAGUGUGAUUCGUCACACUAUCGUUAACUGAAUACAUAGGUUAACGAGGCGAACCGGGGGAACUGAAACAUCUAAGUACCCCGAGGAAAAGAAAUCAACCGAGAUUCCCCCAGUAGCGGCGAGCGAACGGGGAGCAGCCCAGAGUCUGAAUCAGCUUGUGUGUUAGUGGAACGGUCUGGAAAGUCCGACGGUACAGGGUGAUAGUCCCGUACACCAAAAUGCACAGGCUGUGAACUCGAAGAGUAGGGCGGGACACGUGGUAUCCUGUCUGAAUAUGGGGGGACCAUCCUCCAAGGCUAAAUACUCCUGACUGACCGAUAGUGAACCAGUACCGUGAGGGAAAGGCGAAAAGAACCCCGGCGAGGGGAGUGAAAAAGAACCUGAAACCGUGUACGUACAAGCAGUGGGAGCACCUUCGGGUGUGACUGCGUACCUUUUGUAUAAUGGGUCAGCGACUUAUAUUCUGUAGCAAGGUUAACCGUAUAGGGGAGCCGCAGGGAAACCGAGUCUUAACUGGGCGUUAAGUUGCAGGGUAUAGACCCGAAACCCGGUGAUCUAGCCAUGGGCAGGUUGAAGGUUGGGUAACACUAACUGGAGGACCGAACCGACUAAUGUUGAAAAAUUAGCGGAUGACUUGUGGCUGGGGGUGAAAGGCCAAUCAAACCGGGAGAUAGCUGGUUCUCCCCGAAAGCUAUUUAGGUAGCGCCUCGUGAAYUCAUCUUCGGGGGUAGAGCACUGUUUCGGCUAGGGGGUCAUCCCGACUUACCAACCCGAUGCAAACUACGAAUACCGAAGAAUGUUAUCACGGGAGACACACGGCGGGUGCUAACGUCCGUCGUGAAGAGGGAAACAACCCAGACCGCCAGCUAAGGUCCCAAAGUCAUGGUUAAGUGGGAAACGAUGUGGGAAGGCACAGACAGCCAGGAUGUUGGCUUAGAAGCAGCCAUCAUUUAAAGAAAGCGUAAUAGCUCACUGGUCGAGUCGGCCUGCGCGGAAGAUGUAACGGGGCUAAACCAUGCACCGAAGCUGCGGCAGCGACACUAUGUGUUGUUGGGUAGGGGAGCGUUCUGUAAGCCUGCGAAGGUGACCUGUGAGGGUUGCUGGAGGUAUCAGAAGUGCGAAUGCUGACAUAAGUAACGAUAAAGCGGGUGAAAAGCCCGCUCGCCGGAAGACCAAGGGUUCCUGUCCAACGUUAAUCGGGGCAGGGUGAGUCGACCCCUAAGGCGAGGCCGAAAGGCGUAGUCGAUGGGAAACAGGUUAAUAUUCCUGUACUUGGUGUUACUGCGAAGGGGGGACGGAGAAGGCUAUGUUAGCCGGGCGACGGUUGUCCCGGUUUAAGCAUGUAGGCUGRUURUCCAGGCAAAUCCGGAUAAUCAAGGCUGAGGUGUGAUGACGAGGCACUACGGUGCUGAAGUAACAAAUGCCCUGCUUCCAGGAAAAGCCUCUAAGCAUCAGGUAACAUYAAAUCGUACCCCAAACCGACACAGGUGGUCAGGUAGAGAAUACCAAGGCGCUUGAGAGAACUCGGGUGAAGGAACUAGGCAAAAUGGUGCCGUAACUUCGGGAGAAGGCACGCUGGUGUGUAGGUGAAGYCCCUGCGGRUGGAGCUGAGACCAGUCGAAGAUACCAGCUGGCUGCAACUGUUUAUUAAAAACACAGCACUGUGCAAACACGAAAGUGGACGUAUACGGUGUGACGCCUGCCCGGUGCCGGAAGGUUAAUUGAUGGGGUUAUCCGUAAGGAGAAGCUCUUGAUCGAAGCCCCGGUAAACGGCGGCCGUAACUAUAACGGUCCUAAGGUAGCGAAAUUCCUUGUCGGGUAAGUUCCGACCUGCACGAAUGGCGUAAUGAUGGCCAGGCUGUCUCCACCCGAGACUCAGUGAAAUUGAACUCGCUGUGAAGAUGCAGUGUACCCGCGGCAAGACGGAAAGACCCCGUGAACCUUUACUAUAGCUUGACACUGAACAUUGAGCCUUGAUGUGUAGGAUAGGUGGGAGGCUUUGAAGCGUGGACGCCAGUCUGCGUGGAGCCAACCUUGAAAUACCACCCUUUAAUGUUUGAUGUUCUAACGUUGGCCCCUKACCGGGGUUGCGGACAGUGUCUGGUGGGUAGUUUGACUGGGGCGGUCUCCUCCCAAAGCGUAACGGAGGAGCACGAAGGUUAGCUAAUCCUGGUCGGACAUCAGGAGGUUAGUGCAAUGGCAUAAGCUAGCUUGACUGCGAGCGUGACGGCGCGAGCAGGUGCGAAAGCAGGUCAUAGUGAUCCGGUGGUUCUGAAUGGAAGGGCCAUCGCUCAACGGAUAAAAGGUACUCCGGGGAUAACAGGCUGAUACCGCCCAAGAGUUCAUAUCGACGGCGGUGUUUGGCACCUCGAUGUCGGCUCAUCACAUCCUGGGGCUGAAGUAGGUCCCAAGGGUAUGGCUGUUCGCCAUUUAAAGUGGUACGCGAGCUGGGUUUAGAACGUCGUGAGACAGUUCGGUCCCUAUCUGCCGUGGGCGCUGGAGAAUUGAGGGGGGCUGCUCCUAGUACGAGAGGACCGGAGUGGACGCAUCACUGGUGUUCGGGUUGUCAUGCCAAUGGCACUGCCCGGUAGCUAAAUGCGGAAGAGAUAAGUGCUGAAAGCAUCUAAGCACGAAACUUGCCCCGAGAUGAGUUCUCCCUGAGACUUUAAG